RNAcentral lists this ribosomal RNA (491 nucleotides) under uncultured bacterium. RNAcentral describes it as "partial 16S ribosomal RNA". It matches the Rfam family "Bacterial small subunit ribosomal RNA", at positions 28 to 507 of the family's 1533-position model. The record is from RNAcentral.
GAUGAACGCUGGCUACAGGCUUAACACAUGCAAGUCGAGGGGAAACGACGGGGAAGCUUGCUUCCCCGGGCGUCGACCGGCGCACGGGUGAGUAACGCGUAUCCAACCUGCCUCUGACUGAGGGAUAACCCGUCGAAAGUCGGCCUAAUACCUCAUGGCUUCGUCUGCGGGCAUCCAACGACGAUUAAAGAUUUCAUCGGUCAGAGAUGGGGAUGCGUCUGAUUAGCUUGUUGGCGGGGUAACGGCCCACCAAGGCGACGAUCAGUAGGGGUUCUGAGAGGAAGGUCCCCCACAUUGGAACUGAGACACGGUCCAAACUCCUACGGGAGGCAGCAGUGAGGAAUAUUGGUCAAUGGGCGAGAGCCUGAACCAGCCAAGUAGCGUGCAGGAUGACGGCCCUAUGGGUUGUAAACUGCUUUUAUGCGGGGAUAAAGUGAGGGACGUGUCCUUCAUUGCAGGUACCGCAUGAAUAAGGACCGGCUAAUUCCGUG